This 494-nucleotide ribosomal RNA is filed under the name uncultured bacterium. Its description in RNAcentral is "partial 16S ribosomal RNA". It matches the Rfam family "Bacterial small subunit ribosomal RNA", at positions 28 to 507 of the family's 1533-position model. The record is from RNAcentral.
GACGAACGCUGGCGGCGUGCUUAACACAUGCAAGUCGAACGGAAAGGCCUGCUUUCCCUUGUGGAUUGCGGGUACUCGAGUGGCGAACGGGUGAGUAACACGUGUGUGAUUUGCCCCCAACUUGGGUAUAAGCCUGGGAAACUGGGUCUCAUUACCGAUAGGACUGCAGGGUGGUGCCUGUGGUGGAAACCGAUUUUCUAGUGGUUGGGGAUGCGCUCGCGGCCUUUCAGCUUGUUGGUGGGGUAAUGGCCCACCAGGGCGGCGACGGGGAGCCGGCCGGAGAGGGGGGACGGCCGCAUUGGGACUGGGAUACGGCCCAGACUGGUACGGGAAGCAGCAAUGGGUAAUCAAUCGCAGUAGGCCGAAGCCAGAUGCAGCGACGGCGCGUAGAGGAUGACGGCCUUCGGAUUGUAAACUCCUUGCGACCACGAGGAAGCCACCUAGUUGGAAGGGUGGUGACGGUAGUGAUAGAAGAAGCACCGGCUAACUACGUG